CUCCGGGCUGGAGAGCCAGGAGCCGACCCGCGGCCCCGAGGAACCGGACGGACGCGCGGGCCAGCCAAUGGCAGCCGCCGGCAAGGACGAGGCCGCCCCGCCCCCUGGGCUCUGCGACUGACUUUGGGACCAGGUGUCCCGGUCGUGGUCUAGCUGGAAGGCGGCAGAGCUGGGGUCGGCACGUGCUGGCCCACGCGCACCUCUAGCCACCCGGGGAAGCGGGCUGGGGGGGCUCCGCGAGCCGGCCGGCUGCUCCCGGGCGUGCACGCGUGGCCGGGGACCCCCGAGCCUUCCCCAGGAAGCUUCUCCCCAUCCGAACGUGCCCACUCGGGACGGCAGGAAGCGUGGUGAAGUCCGCGAACGGCAGGCUCGGGACGAAGGGGAGGCCGAGGAGUGCUAGAGGGUCUAAUGCCUACGGGCUCGUAAAUUCAGAGCUGGAAACGACCCCGUUAUUUUAAUAGAAAAGGGGAGUUGACUGAGGUCGCACAGGUAGUGAGAUUUGAAUCCAGGUCCUGGGACUCUUAAAUAGAGCGCUCUUUCAAUUGGACCAGAGCUCUGAGCCGGAAGGAGGAAGCAAUAAUUGAAUCACCAGAGAGAGGAAAAAGGGCAGUUGCCUCUAAGCCUCUACCGGCUGAGUAUACUGAUGGACACACCUUGAUGGGUACUGGAUGCUAGCGCCACCUUUUCGAUGCUCUACAUCAACACCUAGAAGAAACUUAGUACAUCUUCAUUGAACUGAGCCAAAUCCCAGAAUUGUUGCAGUCUUGUUUAAUGAAAAACUGGAAUAGAGAGAAGUUAAAUGAUUUGCUGAAGACCAAAUAUGACAUCAGUUUGUUGCAGUGGAACAAGAAAAUAUUACUGACCGCAGAUCCAUACCUACUUUCCAAUCUCCAUAAAAAGACUGAGACUAAUCUCCAGAAGCACCAUGGACACCCUCAGUGAAGGUUAUGAGGAAGGAACAGGAAGGCUUUUGCAAACACUACUCUGCAGAUGUUUAGUCACAUGACUGAUUAAAGUCUUUUAAGAAUACAAGAUCCCAUUGUGCUUGUUCUCCAUUGACUGUUUAAAUCAAGCAUUUGAUUCAAUAAAGCAGACUUUCUUGAAGGCCCUGCUCCAUCCACACGAUUCCCACAUAAGUCAAAGCUAAAUGAGAGUUACUUAAUAAAGGAAAACAAAGAGAACUUUGCUCAUUAUUAUAAGCAAGCAGUGCAUAAGGCAGGGAAACAUGCUCAUCAAAAACAGUUUUUCCUAUCCCCUUCCCACCCUUCCAGCCUUCUCACACUUUGCUCCCCUCCAUGUGACGUAGCAUUCAGCUACACGGUUCCUUGAACAUGACCAUUUCCUUCUCCCCUGCCUUUCCAUUGGCCCUGCUUGGGAUUUCCAUCUCUCGCCUUCCCUCACAUUCUUCAGGAAAUAAAAAAGCCCACCUUUUGAGGAGGCCCUUGCCCUGUGCCCCCGCAUCUCCCCGUUGCUAACGCCUC
Molecule: non-coding RNA, 1481 nt
Organism: Phascolarctos cinereus (koala)
Lineage: Eukaryota; Metazoa; Chordata; Mammalia; Diprotodontia; Phascolarctidae
Source: RefSeq, a predicted model, not a curated record